CACACAGAUAGGCAUUGAAAGAGAACAUGUUUCAAGCAUACGCUCAAACAUUGUUUUAUGCCAACAGGACUAAAGCAUAUGAGAGUAACAUUUUUGUGAACAAGUCCAUCAAAAUUCCAUGAUUCCUGUCAGCUUUGUUACUUAACUGCCUAGCAUCAUCUUCAGAGGAGUUAGAGAGUGAGGAUGCUGUACUCAAUACUGACAUAUGAAAUGGUUAAAUAUAUGUUCUGAAAGUGAAAUAAUGUCAUUGAAAUACUCCAACAAUGGAAAUUAUCUCUUCUGUUUUACUUCUCCUUCUCAAAAUCUUUCAACAUUUAUAUAUGAAUUAAUUUUCGCUGAGCUAUGUACCAAGAAAAGGCCAUUAUAAUCUUGCCUCAAGCAGCUUGCAGUAAAAGAAACACAUUAAUAAAAUGAUUUGCAUAAAUUCUUAGAAGAAGGAACAAGGAAUGACUUAGAA
Diceros bicornis minor is the source of this 457-nucleotide long non-coding RNA. RefSeq lists it as uncharacterized. NCBI's taxonomy places the organism in Eukaryota, Metazoa, Chordata, Mammalia, Perissodactyla, Rhinocerotidae. The transcript has 3 exons. The record is from RefSeq and is a predicted model, not a curated record.